GUAAAAUCGAGCUGCAGACAUAGAUGCAGGCAGUUGUGCCAAUCAUGUUCAAAAUGGCGGCUCCAUCUUCCCUUCUCUGCCAGCCACGUGCACAGUAAGGAGCAGACAAGAUGGUGCUGGCCAAGGGGAAAGUUCAUUUGCAUAAUAAGAUUAGAGUGGGGAGGUCAGCCUUCCCCACACCCCAGCGCUAUGUAAACAUCAUACCUGACUGAACCAAUCUGUGAGCCCUAUGUAAAUCAGACACCACCUCCUCAAGCCUGACUAUAAAAUCCAGUGCAUCUGCUGCCGGUGGCGUUUUCCUUUCAGAAGUACCCUCUCUCUCACUGGAGAGAGCUGUUUUCCUCUCUCUCUUUCUUUUGCCUAUUAACCCUCUGCUCCUAAAAAUUAAAAAAAUAAUAAA
RNAcentral lists this long non-coding RNA (400 nucleotides) under Homo sapiens (human). RNAcentral describes it as "non-protein coding lnc-GLIS2-4:1". Lineage: Eukaryota; Metazoa; Chordata; Mammalia; Primates; Hominidae. The record is from RNAcentral.